GUCAUGUCGUCAGAGAAAAAAUUUUCCGUUCUCUAGUAAAUAAACUUUGCAAAGAUAAUUCCCACCAUAUUGAGAUGGAAAUGGGAUAUAUAGUCUGAGCUAUUCAAGAUGGUUGAUGUCUUAUAAAGAUUGCAACACCUUUAGCUUGUCUAAGGCCAAACCGGAAGAGAAGAUUUAUUUGCUUUAUACACCUUGAUCGUGCAACUUCACAUUUUUGUUAUAACUUAAUGUUGUAUUUUUUAGUCUUAUUGAU
RNAcentral lists this unclassified non-coding RNA (253 nucleotides) under Hevea brasiliensis (rubber tree). The record is from RNAcentral. Lineage: Eukaryota; Viridiplantae; Streptophyta; Magnoliopsida; Malpighiales; Euphorbiaceae.